Cucurbita pepo subsp. pepo (vegetable marrow) is the source of this 1495-nucleotide non-coding RNA. NCBI's taxonomy places the organism in Eukaryota, Viridiplantae, Streptophyta, Magnoliopsida, Cucurbitales, Cucurbitaceae. The record is from RefSeq and is a predicted model, not a curated record.
AAGUUAGGGUUUGGGAGAGAGGAAGAACAGAGAUGACAAAUCGCCAUAGGAGAUCGGAUCAGGACCGACGCUGGAGAACCGAGUCCCCAAUCUAAACCAUCAAAUAGCUCGAGGCAAGGUGCUCUCACGAAUCGCACCUUCCUAUUUCGACAAAACGUUCAAGAACUACAGUUCUGGAGUGAAGACGGCCAAGAUCGGCGUUCGAAUCGGAGUUUAAAGAUAACGUGAUUUUUGGACCUGUGAAGAAAAUUCCAGAAUUGUUGGAAUCCAUUCCGUCAAGAAAACUCGAACUCGGGAAGGCACGCGUCGACCAAGUAAGUAGCCAUUUGGAUUUCCACGAGCAGUACUUGUAUGAACCGCUAGGAACAAGCAUGCAUGCUACCACCUAUGAAAUUAGCUAGUCCGACUUAGCGUGUUAUUAUAGAAACUGCGAAUAUAAGAUGAUUAUGGAAAACUAGAUACAAAAUGUGUAUUAAAUCUGUUUUGGUUGAGACUCUGAUAAUGUAUGUAUGCAUGAGGAGGUUGGGAAACUUGUGAAAUCUGCGCUCCGGGUAAAGAUGGACGUUAUCUUCCCGUUGAGCAUGUUUGAUAAUUUUGCAUAAAUUGCUGCGUGUAAACUCUAUUGUAUGAUGAUUGCUUGUAUUAUCUUUCUUGAUGAAUAGGAAGAAAUUAUGAGCUUAGAUUAGGAUGCUUAUGGCUAAAUAAGCUAGACGAGACCCUAGAUUGGGGGACCUCUAGAAUACCGUGCAAUUAGACCCGCGAAAUGAUUACCGGCGGAACCAGAACCCAGAAUUCCAAACCCGAUAGGUUUGUGACACCAGGCACGAGAAUCCUAGAGAAACACGAAUCUAAGUCUAAGGCACCAAGUUCCACCCUAGAAAGAAUAAUAGGUCACCACGGUAACUGUAGGUAGCCCGCUAGAGUUGAGCAGUGAAGAUAGUGUCAUCAGAACCUCCACUUCCCUCUCUCCUCCGAUACCAUACCGUCGAGAUAGGGCUCCGCUACGAUGAUCGUUGAGCUUUGCAGAUCCGGAUAGGGAAGUGUGACAGGUGCCCAGACCUAGUGGUGAUAGCUAAGGGGUCUUCUGAACAGGACUCCUGGGCCGUAGAAACCCGUCCCUGAGCGGGGGACGUGGAGCCACUUAGGAUGACUUAGUAGCUGACCGGCACAUAGGGGGUCGCACCCCGUUUUGUGGAUGUAUGGUCCCGUGUGAGGGUCGUCAGUUAACCUCCACGGAUGAUGUUCAGAGAGAGAGUCACGUAUUCAGAUCCAGCCAUACGAUCCUCUCAGAUUUGCUUAUGAGGUCACGCCUCACCUCAGGACACUGAUCAUUUCACUGCAUAAGAUGGGCAAACCUUUCAUGAUACAGAAAAGAGAGUUGCAGCUUAGAUCACUCUCCUUAGAAACCCGAGAAAGACCGUGGUUACCUACCAAGAUAAGGAUGCGAAAAGAGCCUACAAGUAGGCUGCUUACUGAGUAUAUUUUUAUACUCACC